UACCAGCCCCCCGAGUGGUCGGGACGAUUAUUGGGCCUAAAGCAUCCGUAGCCGGUCCUACAAGUCUUCCGUUAAAUCCACCUGCUUAACAGAUGGGCUGCGGAAGAUACUAUAGGGCUAGGAGGCGGGAGAGGCAAGCGGUACUCAGUGGGUAGGGGUAAAAUCCUCUGAUCCAUUGAAGACCACCAGUGGCGAAGGCGGCUUGCCAGAACGCGCUCGACGGUGAGGGAUGAAAGCGGGGGGAGCAAACCGG
This 253-nucleotide ribosomal RNA is filed under the name uncultured archaeon. Its description in RNAcentral is "partial 16S ribosomal RNA". It matches the Rfam family "Archaeal small subunit ribosomal RNA", at positions 474 to 727 of the family's 1478-position model. The record is from RNAcentral.